This 558-nucleotide ribosomal RNA is filed under the name Astylosternus ranoides. RNAcentral describes it as "partial 16S ribosomal RNA". It matches the Rfam family "Bacterial large subunit ribosomal RNA", at positions 1829 to 2600 of the family's 2925-position model. The record is from RNAcentral. Lineage: Eukaryota; Metazoa; Chordata; Amphibia; Anura; Arthroleptidae.
CGCCUCUUGACUAAACAUAAGAGGUCCAGCCUGCCCGGUGAUUAAUUUUAACGGCCGCGGUACCCUAACCGUGCGAAGGUAGCACAAUCACUUGUUCCUUAAAUAGGGACUAGUAUGAACGGCACCACGAAGACUACACUGUCUCCCCCCUACAAUCAGUGAAACUGAUCUCCCCGUGAAGAAGCGGGGAUAAACCUAUAAGACGAGAAGACCCCAUGGAGCUUAAAACUCAGUACCACCUACUCUUUAUUACUUCAUGAUAAUCCAGUAUGCAUGACCACUAGUUUUUGGUUGGGGUGACCGCGGAGUAAAACCUAACCUCCACAAUGAACGGAAUUAAAUUCCUAACUCUAGACCUACACCUCGAAAAAUUAAAAUAUUAACAUAAUUUGACCCAAGCCCAUUGAUCAACGAACCAAGUUACCCUGGGGAUAACAGCGCAAUCCAUUUUAAGAGCCCCUAUCGACAAAUGGGUUUACGACCUCGAUGUUGGAUCAGGGUAUCCUAGUGGUGCAGCCGCUACUAAAGGUUCGUUUGUUCAACGAUUAAAACCCUACG